GGAUGUGAAGAAUUUAUUUGACACCCAGUCUUAUUUCCGCAUGGAAAAUGGUGAUAAAUCUUUCUAUAUCUGAUCC
RNAcentral lists this small nucleolar RNA (76 nucleotides) under Jatropha curcas. RNAcentral describes it as "Small nucleolar RNA U31b". It matches the Rfam family "Small nucleolar RNA U31b". The record is from Rfam by way of RNAcentral. Lineage: Eukaryota; Viridiplantae; Streptophyta; Magnoliopsida; Malpighiales; Euphorbiaceae.